CGCCUGAUACGGGCUAAGGGUCUCUGCUCUCUGAUACACAUUCAUGUGUAAAAUAACAGGCUAAGCACUGUUGAAAAAAUAAAGGAAAACAGACUUCACAAGGAUCUCCGUGCUGAAAGCAGCCUUCAACAGGAAGGUCCCUGGAGAAUCAGCUCCUUCCAAAAGAUCAGGGGAUGAAGACUUCAAGACCGCAACUGCUGCUGUCUCACCCCUAGGCAGGAAUGGACCACCCUCCGCCCUCCACCCUCCGCCAGCAGCCCACAGGAAGCAAGUAGAACCUGAUACCACCUCCCGCCAGUCUGUGAAUAUAUAAUCUGACUUGUAUUUUCCCUGUUUUCCCAUUUUGCAUACUUCAGAAUAAAGACAUCUGUUCAUAACA
This 379-nucleotide long non-coding RNA is filed under the name Homo sapiens (human). Its description in RNAcentral is "non-protein coding lnc-GNPTG-1:1". Lineage: Eukaryota; Metazoa; Chordata; Mammalia; Primates; Hominidae. The record is from RNAcentral.